RNAcentral lists this long non-coding RNA (2317 nucleotides) under Hordeum vulgare. RNAcentral describes it as "long non-coding RNA (HVUL_LNC018063)". Lineage: Eukaryota; Viridiplantae; Streptophyta; Magnoliopsida; Poales; Poaceae. The record is from RNAcentral.
AUCAAUCCAAUCUCUUGUAGAACCACGAACAUGACACACACUUCUUCCAUGCCAUGACCGGCGAGGCAGACAACGUUUGCUCCACGCUCCGACUAGGAGCAGGACACGGCGGGGCCGCUCGGCGUCGGUUGGUCGUACGUGAAGCGGGUGCCAUGGACGCCAUGAUGCUCGUCGUGGGCCAUAGAUGCGAGCACGAGCACAAAGCGGCCGUACAUCUCCAGGAUCUCUAUCUGGUGGCACAACUAGUUCAAAAAGUUCUGCAUCCUGAGAGGCAUCGUCAUGGAGUUGCAGUUUAUGGUCAUGUAAGCUAGCUUCGCAUGCAUCUCUUUCCAAGAAUCCAUCCACGAGGCUCGCUGCUAACUAGCUUUCUGGAUAGUACUAAUCUAAUCUUGUUUUUUGUAUGUCUAAGUAUGAUGUAUCUAGCAAUCUAAUUAAUUCUUGAUUCUUCUCAUCCACCAAGAUUCUUCAAGACAUCGAACUAUAAUCAAAAAAUCUCUCUUGUGAAGUCCUGAAUUUUCUCUUGCAAUGCGUUUUGAUAAAAAGUUAUACAUAACUACUGUAAGAACUAAGUUCAAGUAGGAUAGUUGAGUAUGUAAUGUAAAAACAUAGAAAAUAGAAAUGAAAUUCAACAAAAAUCGAUUUUUUCCAUGGUAGAUUAUUUAGUGCGUGAGGUAUGUUCAAAAUUUCAGAUUAUUUGGAGAUUUCAGUCGCUAUCAGCAAAAAAUAAAAAAAUGGGUCAGAACAAUACUUGAACAAUAAACUUUUUUACACAUCCCAAAUUUUCCUUUUUUGCCGAGGGAUACUCAUAUAUACAAAUGAUUUGAAAUUUGGAGCGAAUCUCACGCACCAAAUUCUCUACCAUGCAAAAAAAAUUGGAUUUUUUGAAAUUUUCUAUUAUUUAUUUUGAUUUUUUUAUGAUCGAAGGUGCAUAUGAGACUGGGCACUAAAUAACUGCUAUGUGUAAGGAUUUUUUUUACCUUGUCACACUUUUAUCUUGGUAUUUCACGAUGAGAUGCAAUAAGAAAUCUGGGAAGGUUUGGGGUUCAUGUCAUCGAUGAACAAGAGAUCGAUGAAGCUUUACGAUGUAAUUAGAUGUGAUUGCUAGUUGUAUGUGUUGGCUGUCAUGUAAUGUGAGAUAGUACAUUUGUACUUUUAUAUGUUGUAUGAUAAAGAAAUCAUAUAGUGGAUUUUGCGUGUGCAUUUUUACAUUAUGUUUGAUUGUCGAAAGAUGAUCAUAAUAAAUUGAUUAUGUCUAACUAAUUUUAGGACUAAUUAACACAUCGUUAAGAGGACACAUUGCACACGGUUUUCUGGAUCCAAUUGUGUGAGAUGGCAUUUACCUCACACAUAAUUUUUUAUUUUUAAUCGUGUACAAUGAAUUGCACAUGAUAUAAAAUUUUCAUGAAAUAACAUUGUGCGAUGCUAAUCCAAAUUGCAAACAGUUUUUGUCUUGAAUUGUUUCGGAUGUAACCUCAAUCACAAAUUGUAUUGAUAGCUUGUGCGAUGGACCCCCCUAUCGCCCACACUUGCAAGGUGAUGGUUUGAAACUGUGUCACUGAAAGUUGUUAAAAACCGUUUGCUUAGGACCUUCCUGCACCGGUGCACAUAAAUACAAAUGAUUAGAACCACAGUGUUAAGUUAGACAAUUUUAUCAUACUUCUUAAUACUUCAGCAUUUUCAACCUCACUAAAUACAUGAGCGUGAACUAUGUACAUAGAAUAUGGGUGGAAUAGAUCAUGAUGGUAGAUAUCGAAAUGAGUAAAACUGGAAAAGAAAGUCUCGCAUCAACUAGGCGGACCAAUAGCUAUGGAGAUGCCCAUCAAUCUAUAUUAAUGCAAGGAGUAGGGGGUUACCAUGCAACACAUGCACUAGAGUUAUAAGUGUAUGAAAUCUCAAUAGAACCUAAGUGGGUGUGUAUCCAAGUUGCUUGAUCAUGAAGACCUCACGCAUUUGAGGAAGCCCGUCAUCAGAAUAUGCAAGCCAAGUUCUAUAAUGAAAAUUCCCACUAACAUAUGACAAUAACAACUCAUGAGACUCUCUAUAUGAAAACAUGGUGCUUUCUGUAAGUACAAUUUUGAAAAAAAGUGGUAGUAGCACUGUCCCUUCUCUCUUUUUUCUCAUUUUUUCAUUUUUUUUCUUUGUUCCCCCUUUUUUCUUUAUUUUUUUCAUCCGGAGUCUCAUCCCGACAUGUGAGAGAAUCAUAGUCUCCAUCAUCCUUUCCUCACUUAGACCAUGCUCUAAUAGUGAUGAACAUCACACUUCUAUCUACUUACAACUCGAUAUGAAAAACUACUAAAAACGAUGACUCUAUAUGAAU